AGCUCCAAUAGCGUAUAUUAAAGUUGUUGCGGUUAAAAAGCUCGUAGUUGGAUUUCUGCUCAAGCGUGCUGCCCUCCCCACGCGGGAUGGGUUACCAAGUUUGUGUCUUUCUGGAAACGGAGUAGGUCCUUCAUUGGGCUUUCUUUUGGUUCCGGACUUUUACUUUGAGGAAAUUAGAGUGUUUCAGGCAGGCAUAGCCGGAAUACAUUAGCAUGGAAUAAUAAGAUAAGACCUUUGGUCUAUUUUUUGGUUUCUAGGACGGAGGUAAUGAUUAAUAGGGAUAGUUGGGGGCAUUCGUAUUUAACUGUCAGAGGUGAAAUUCUUGGAUUUGUUAAAGACGAACUACUGCGAAAGCAUUUGCCAAGGAUGUUUUCAUUG
RNAcentral lists this ribosomal RNA (378 nucleotides) under Unruhdinium sp. Its description in RNAcentral is "partial small subunit ribosomal RNA". It matches the Rfam family "Eukaryotic small subunit ribosomal RNA", at positions 587 to 975 of the family's 1831-position model. The record is from RNAcentral. Lineage: Eukaryota; Dinophyceae; Peridiniales; Kryptoperidiniaceae.